GACGAACGCUGGCGGCGUGCUUAACACAUGCGAGUCGAACGGAAAGGCCCUGCUUUUGUGGGGUGCUCGAGUGGCGAACGGGUGAGUAACACGUGAGUAACCUGCCCUUGACUUUGGGAUAACUUCAGGAAACUGGGGCUAAUACCGGAUAGGAGCUCCUGCUGCAUGGUGGGGGUUGGAAAGUUUCGGCGGUUGGGGAUGGACUCGCGGCUUAUCAGCUUGUUGGUGGGGUAGUGGCUUACCAAGGCUUUGACGGGUAGCCGGCCUGAGAGGGUGACCGGCCACAUUGGGACUGAGAUACGGCCCAGACUCCUACGGGAGGCAGCAGUGGGGAAUAUUGCACAAUGGGCGGAAGCCUGAUGCAGCAACGCCGCGUGCGGGAUGACGGCCUUCGGGUUGUAAACCGCUUUCGCCUGUGACGAAGUGUGAGUGACGGUAAUGGGUAAAGAAGCACCGGCUAACUACGUG
This 468-nucleotide ribosomal RNA is filed under the name uncultured bacterium. RNAcentral's name for it is "partial 16S ribosomal RNA". It matches the Rfam family "Bacterial small subunit ribosomal RNA", at positions 28 to 507 of the family's 1533-position model. The record is from RNAcentral.